UCUAAAAUUGAGAUUGAAGUACAGCUCCGGCUGAGCGAAUCUUGUAAGGAUUCAGUUUCGAGAUAGACGUUGGAAUGAACAGUAGUUCAAAAGUGUUCACAAGUUUGUGUGAAAGUGCUGGAAAAAUGGCCACAUCCGACCACUAUCAGAUGUUCCUGUAAAAAGUUAUUCUGCAGAAUAUUACCAGCUCUAUGAGAAAAGUAAACGAAUCAACAGAACAGGCUAAUUACAGGUUCCAAAGUAUUAUUGCAUUUAAUUUUAUACCGAAAAUAAACAUAUGAAGUUUCUGUUUUUGCGUAAAUUUGCCUAUUGAUGUUAUAAAGUAAUCAAUAAAUUUGAUAAUAAUGA
Molecule: long non-coding RNA, 348 nt
Organism: Armigeres subalbatus
Lineage: Eukaryota; Metazoa; Arthropoda; Insecta; Diptera; Culicidae
Exons: 2
Source: RefSeq, a predicted model, not a curated record